RNAcentral lists this ribosomal RNA (253 nucleotides) under uncultured bacterium. RNAcentral describes it as "partial 16S ribosomal RNA". It matches the Rfam family "Bacterial small subunit ribosomal RNA", at positions 524 to 776 of the family's 1533-position model. The record is from RNAcentral.
UACGUAGGGGGCAAGCGUUGUCCGGAUUUAUUGGGUUUAAAGGGUGCGUAGGCGGCCUUGUAAGUCAGUGCUGAAAUAUCCCGGCUUAACCGGGAGGGUGGCAUUGAUACUGCAGGGCUUGAGUAAAGUUGAGGUUGGCGGAAUUGACGGUGUAGCGGUGAAAUGCUUAGAUAUCGUCAAGAACACCGAUAGUGAAGACAGCUAACUAAGCUUUAACUGACGCUGAGGCACGAAAGUGUGGGGAUCAAACAGG